Long non-coding RNA from Nyctereutes procyonoides (raccoon dog), 6903 nucleotides. RefSeq lists it as uncharacterized. Lineage: Eukaryota; Metazoa; Chordata; Mammalia; Carnivora; Canidae. The transcript has 2 exons. The record is from RefSeq and is a predicted model, not a curated record.
GCAAGGGGCUAAGGGGAGGGGGGCCCAGUGCCAGCCGUUUAAAAAUGCCCCGUGGCAGUGAGGGGUGCCAGAGGCCCGGUCAAGUUAGUUGAGAAGCAAUGACACCCCCAACAAUCCCCUAAAUGAGCUGAGCCCUGUAUCCAGGCUGCAAGGAGCCACACCUGGACCAGACCCCAGAAGAGCCUCCCGGAGCUUCCCAAGAAGACAGAGGUUCCCCCCACUGGCUGGGCUCAGCGACAUUUCCUGAAGACAGUGAGGAGCAGGGAGGGGGAAUCGGCCCAUUCUCUGGGAGCAGCUCCCCCAGACUGCCAACAGCCGGCACCAGGUAAGAAUCUGCCCUGUAAGAGUCUAAGGCCACCUGUUCAACCGUGUCCUUGGGCAGAGGGGAUAUGGAGCCGUGGAGAGCCGGGAGACGUGACCACAGCAGCUGGUGAUCAAAGUCGGGUCUCCCACAUGGCCCCCUGCCCCCCAGACUGGGGACCAGGAGUAGGAAGGAGCCUCUCGUGGGGCUACCGACCCCCUUCUCAUUCAGCGGAGACCUGGGGUCAGGGUCAGCAGUGUCUGCCUGCUGGGCAAGUAAGAAAGACUCAAGGGAAGAGUUCCCAGGGCCAGAGAGCCAAGAGGACACCCUUCCUGCCUCCGUGCCCCUCCUCCCAGCCUGCCACCUCCUCCUCCAGGAAGCCAUCCCAGCUUCCCAAGGGGGGGGGGCGCGACGGGGGAGGGCUCUCUGUCUUCUGAGACCUUGUCUCUCUCUUGUGUUGUGGCCCUCGGGUCUGCCCCCUAUUCACCUUGCCAGGGACAUUUCCCCUCUAUCUCAGCCUGACGGCGCUCCUCCAGGGCAGGGACAGGGUCAGCUUCAGUGCCACGUCCCCUCUGCAGGCGGAAGACGCCCUUAGGUUUGCUGAAGGGUCAGGUGAAAUGGUUAGACCCUGUCCCGAAUCCAAAGGAUUGGUAAAGUGGCGGGGAGAGGAGACAUUCAGCCUAGAGGUUACAGUGAGGGUGCUGGCGCUGGCUGCUCUGAGUUAAGAACCCAGCUCAGCUCCUAACUCCAAGGCCUUGGGAAAUUCCUUUCCCACAGAGCCUGGGAGUACAAGGGGGUUAGCACAAUUAAAAUAGUCAAUAAACCGCUGUUCUCAUUACAGACAGCAUCACCAGAUUUUUCUAGGUACAAGGGAACAGAACCACACAGCCCAUAGCCAGAGAAGAAGGAGGCAAAUAGAGUCCCGGGGCAAAGGCUGUCAACAAGCCCCUGCCUCUGCGUCAGAGUUUCUCCCACAGGAACGUGGGCCUGCCUCCCAUCUACCUCCCGUCUCCAUACCCGGGAGAGGCGCUAUCUUUGCAACAAUAUUCCGAGCCCCGUGCUGGAAAUAGCUCUCAACUCCCCUGGUCCAAGCAGGGCUGUGACCGUGGAACCAUCUCCCUUCCAUCCUGGUCCUCCACGUGGAGGUGACACCAGCUGGGCCGAAGGUUAAAUGCGAUGGGAACCAAACCACAGCCACUCAGAUACCCCCUUCUGUAUUUUUUUUCCUCUAUCUGCAAUCACAGUACCUCUACAUUUAAGAUGAGUCACGUGUACCCGCGUAUGUUUGUAUACUGUCCGUGAAAAACUCUGACACUGGCCAUAACGAGGAGACGAAGUAAGAUAAGCAGCAAGAAGGGAACAGUGUGGUUACCCUUCGCCCCAGUGCGGUGGCUUGCGAGGCCCUGGGCCUGAGGCCUGAGGUCUGAGGCCGAAGGGAAAUGAGCAGGAGCUGGGAAAGCCUCAGAGACAGGAGAGCACCAAACAGGCUUUCUCGCCCUUCCUUGUAAAUAGAAAGCAAACUGAUGCAGGGGAAAAGCUUGCAUCACUGUCUUCCACAGGUAGGACUGAGGCCCGCAGACCCCGCAGAACUGCUCAUGCGGGUCGCCAGAGGUGGUCCGGUGAAGGCUUUGGAAACAGUUGUGCAUCGAGGAAUGCAGGAGGCCAGCUUUAUCAGCUUGGUUUCUGGCCAUGGAAGUUUGUCACUUUGUCAAGAACCACCCCCCACCCCCCACCUGCCCCACCGGCCUCGUACUGAAACGUCCAAGUUGGUCAGGCUGAGCAUGUUCCCUCGCGGGGCUGGUAGGGGCCCAUCCCAGAGUGGAGCACAGUGGACAGGCUGUGGGCUGUCUAGGACCCCCGAGGUGGGACCCCACAUCGGACUCACUCCCCAGCCAAAUGUGCUCUGGAGAGAGUUCCUACGGGAGAACUCCAGAUGAGAGAAAGGCAUUUCUUGGGCUGGGAAUACCUCAGGAAGGGGCUGUCCUCCUCAGGAGGCCAUGGGGACUGACCUGCCCUCAAGUGGCUGACUGGAGAGAGACACUCUUCAGCUCAAGGCCAGAUUUCAGAUUUCUAGGAGAGGCAUAGGAGACACUUUUUUUUCAAGGAGGAGGUUUUGUUUUGUUUUGUUUUGCUUUCUUCCAGCCCUAAGAAAGGCUACCCACCCCCUUAGGCCUUCAUAUAACUCUGAAAGUAUCUGUCAUCUGGUAUCAAGGCCACCACCGUAGACACCCAGCAAAGCAGGAAAGUCCUCUGGGGGUGCCCAGGAGGAACACAGGUGGCCCUGCCUGCUUGCUCGCAGAGGUUCCCACCCAAGCCAGGUCUCAAGAAGAAAAUGAAUUAUCUAUAUUAGCCAUUCAGUCACCCACCAAAUGGUAUUGCCUGGGGCCUAUCACCAUGUACAAAGACCUCAGCAAGGCCCAAGGACACCCCCCAAAUUAACAAAUGUCGGCACUGCCCCCAGGGAACUGGAUACUAGCCCAGUCAGACCCGGAUGCAAAUAGCUCUGACACUGGAGAUGAGGUUGAUGAAAGUAAUUCAGUCAUUCAACCAAUGCUUACUGAGGUCUACACUGCCGGAACCCACUUUCAGUGGUGAGCCCAGACGGCUCACGGGUGGGUGACGCAGCCCACAAGUGUGGUGCAGGAUUAGAAGUAGGGCACACAGGGUGUGAGGAUGUGGACCGGGGUGUCCUGAUGUCUGAGGAAGUCAACAAGGGCUUCCCAGAAAAAAACGGCCUUUUGAUACUAGGCGCAGGAAGAGGAGGCAGGCAGGGGGUGUGAGGGGAACAGCACAGCACCUGCGAGCCCAGAGAUGGUGGGCACCACGGGGGAAGUGGGAGAGGCCUCGUGGUCUUUGGGGAGGACUUUAGAAAUUAGGUGGGAGGAGAGGGAGCACUUUCAGGACCCUAAAUCAUGGAAGAGACAUGACCAUAUUUACACCUGAAAAGUCACUUUGGAAGGAUGUCUGGGAAGGAUGCGGGGUGGACGUCGGGGCGGGUGGGGAGUGGAAGCAGGGAGACCAGGUAGGAGGCCAGGGCAAAUGUUUGAUGGUAUAAAAUAUCAAGUACCACGACCGUGCUGUUUGGCUCGAAGGUACAGAGCAUAAAGGUGGGGCCUGGGGUCCCAUAUCGGAUGAGUCCAUUUAUUGGAAUGUCUAGAAUCAGCGGCUCUCGAGACAGAAAGCCGGCUGCCCAGAGCCGGGGCUGAUGGCAGAUGGGAGGGGCUGAAUGAUAAGAGGUCUCCUGUUGGGGUGAUGAAGUGUCCUAAAAUUGGCUGUGGCAGUGGUUGCACAACUGGGUGAAAGUAUCCGAAGCCAUUUCAUUGUACACUUUAAGUGUAUAUGUGGGAUUACAUCUCAAUAAAGCUGGUUUUUAACAAAAGAGGAGUAAAGGGAGGUGGAGGGUUGGUCCCAGAGGGCUGGGAAGCCAGGCUGAGGCCCUGAGGCUGGGAGGGAGACACCGGGGGGGGGGGGGUUGGGGGGUGCUGUGCGGUAGGGCCGUGGCCCCCCUGACACCCCCCUCCCCUGCCUAGGGUGGAGCCCCCGACAGCAGCUCCUGGCACCGAGCAGUGCGCCCUGUCUCCCAGCCUGAGGUGCAGUGCUGCAUCUCUGGUCAGUUGGGAGUCUGAGAUGAAGCACUGUAGCUCGGGAAGGGAGAAGUUGUUCUGCAGCCGUCAGCCUGGACUUGGUAAGUGGUGGCAGUGCUUGGGGACACCAGGCAGGAUGGGAGAGUGUCCAGUCACCCUGCUGCCUGCUGCUUCCCCAGCAGUGCUGGGGAAGUUUCUGGACACAAGUGCUACCCAUGCCACCAUCUGCUUCAUGACUGUGGCCAAAUCCUGACUCCUCUGCGCACCCCAGUUGGACCAUCUGCAGCUGAAGUGUUGGGGCGUUGGGUGGUCGCCGGUCCCCGACAUCCUGCCUCUGCUUUCUCUUUCUGAGCCCAUGGUGGACACCGCUCAUCAGUCAGGGCAUCCUUUCUUGAAGAGAUCAGAGGCACCUUCAGAAUCCUUCUCCACACCAAGUGCUGGAUAGCUAUGGUUCAUAAUCCAGAGCUGAAACCCAUUCACCACUUGUGGAUUGGACAAAUCCUACAAACCUUUGCAUCCCUAAAGACAAAAGUCAGUCAAGCUUUGAGUCAAGCUCCUCAUUCUUUGAGGGCCUAACCUUGGCUCCAGGCUAUUGCCUGAACCAAUCCAGGCAUUGCAUGAAGGUCCAGCCCGUCUCAGAGGCUUGGGACAAGCAAGGAAUAGCAGGGACUCACCGGACUCACCAUAAUGCUAUUUAACCUCCUGACGUGCUUGGAAGGUGGCCGGUGUCAUUGACCCAUUCUAAGACGAGAAGACUGAGGCUCAGUCACCCCGGGGUUGUAGCUCUAAUCUGUCUGCUUUUGAGUUUGUGUUCUUAGCCGAUGCAGUGCGUGUGAUUUGAACACACACACACACACACACACACACACACACACACACCCCAGGGGUGGGGGCGCAGGUGGAGACCCUAAUAAAUAAAUCCAGUCUUCUCCUUUCACCUUGGGUCACUUUUCACAAAGACAGACCUAGAGGGUUUCCACUAAGCCUCUGGGCUGCCUUCCUCCUCCUCUCCCCAACUGCAUCUGUCACACCUCAUCCGGGAGGCCCUCUCCUCUCCCAUUUUACAGCUGAGGAAAGCCGAGGCCGAGAGGCUUGCAGGAGAUCCCCGGGAGGAAGCUGGACACUGCCAACCCUGCGGGCCCAGGGUGUAGACUCAAACCCCCCCUCUGGCCCCGGCGGUCAUGGAGGGAGCGGGGAGGAGGGGGAGGGCUGGACGCCACCGGGUUUCUGGUCAACCACGCGGCCUCUGACUCCAGGCAAGGUACUUUCCAGGGCGCUUGAGGUUGCCCCCCCUGCCCCGCUGGAGCGGUCACCGUGGCACCGCGCUGACCUCUGCGGAGGGCGCUGGAGGCCGAAGAGGACUCUCGCGUUCCCGGGGACGUGGCAGCGCCGUGUCCUCACGGUCCAGUUUUCCCAGGAAUCCCUUAGAUGCUAAGAUGGGGAUUCCUGGAAAUACUGUUCUUGAGGUCAUGGUUUAGCAGCCGGACUCACCUCCCCGCCCCACCCAGACCUGGCCCCCCGGGACCUCAGCGCACCCUCGGAGGAGGCCCAGCAGGAGGCCGGGCGCUGGAGGUAAGGGGGCUCGCGCACCGGACGGUGAGGUGCUUCCUCUCCGCUUCGUCCAUUCCGCAGCGUUCCUCGAGGCCACCUCACCGCGGCUGUAGUCUUGGGAAAUCUGCCCGGUGAGGACUGAUGGAACCAGGUCACCAUAAAGUCUGAGCCUCUGCCCCACUUCCCAGCACGCCCUGCAGUGGGGGCCGCGAUGGGGUGUCCACGUUAUGGAUAAACGCACAUGAGUUUUUAAGUUUAUUAAAUCACUUAGGAAAACCAAGCACCUUAAGUCUUAGCUCGACUUGCAAUGCAACCACAGAAAAAUGAACUUUUUUUCAUCCAGAAGACAAAAAAAGCUCAGCGCGCCCUCUUGUGGUGACACCUGCCUCUAUUUACCUCCAGAAGCACGGGGUGCUCUGACACACACACACACACCGGACACAUGCCCCGACAUUCCUUUUGCCCCAGUCACAUUGCACCAGUGAGCACAUCAGCCUGCCCAUCAUCUCAUUACCUAUGAUCCUCCGUCACUUAGAGACUAGUCCUACUCCUACAGCCUGGCUUCGGCCUCGAAGCUCUCCGUGCUGGGUGAGGCUGAGAGGUGAAGUGACCAGCCCAAGGUCACCCAGGCAGCCAAACGCAGAGCUGGGAUUGAUUCCAAGUUCAGUGGCCUGUGGCAAUUCCUUAGCCACAAGCAAAAGCUACAAAAAGAAAAAAGAAAAAGAUGACUCUGUCUAAAGAGACAAAGGAAAUGCUAAUGACCCGAUGCCACAGACCCGAGGUGGUCCUGGGGCUGCACUAGAACUUUUUGCAAACUCCUUCUAGUGCUUUCCAAGGAGUCUGUAGAGAGAGUAGGUGCCGUGGCCCUAGAAUCCUCACCAGAGUGUCUGGUCCCCUUACUCCCAGGGACCAGAUGGCUCUCACAUGUGGCUCUGGCUGUCUUCCUAGCGGACCAUCUUGAAGACAUUUAUGCAGUAUGCGAGCCCUUCCCCCUCCUCCACAGACUGGAGUCGGCCUGACGGUAGAGAGAGCUGACUUGCUCCUAAUAAAUGAUAAUAAUAAUAGCGUCAGUGAAAAUGAUAAUAAUAAUAGCAUCCAUUCAUUGACUGUUUACAACUAGCAAGACACUGUGCUAGACAAUUCUCAGGCAUUGUCCCAUUCAGUCCCCACUACAACCCAGUGAGGUAGGUUCCAUCGUUUACUCCAUUUCACAGAUGAGGAAGCCAAGGCUCAGAGAGGUUAAGAGACUUGCCUAAGGUCACCCACCUAAUAACAAGCUGGGAUCACAUCAAGUCUGUGUUUAUGCUUUUCACCUGCCCUUGCUCCCUCUGUCCCGUUGGCCUGGCCUAUCUGGCAGGGCAGUCUCCCUGGGGCUCCGGGGCUGGGGGGGAGAGGGUUAAUCAAUCCUUCAGUGAGACCCAAGUGGUCCGACCUGUGCCUGUGGUUCUAAUAAAGCACUAGACCUUU